UGGGGAAUAUUGCACAAUGGGCGCAAGCCUGAUGCAGCCAUGCCGCGUGUAUGAAGAAGGCCUUCGGGUUGUAAAGUACUUUCAGCGGGGAGGAAGGCGAUGCGGUUAAUAACCGCGUCGAUUGACGUUACCCGCAGAAGAAGCACCGGCUAACUCCGUGCCAGCAGCCGCGGUAAUACGGAGGGGGCAAGCGUUAAUCGGAAUUACUGGGCGUAAAGCGCACGCAGGCGGUCUGUCAAGUCGGAUGUGAAAUCCCCGGGCUCAACCUGGGAACUGCAUCCGAAACUGGCAGGCUUGAGUCUCGUAGAGGGGGGUAGAAUUCCAGGUGUAGCGGUGAAAUGCGUAGAGAUCUGGAGGAAUACCGGUGGCGAAGGCGGCCCCCUGGACGAAGACUGACGCUCAGGUGCGAAAGCGUGGGGAGCAAACA
Molecule: ribosomal RNA, 427 nt
Filed under: uncultured bacterium
Lineage: Bacteria
Description: partial 16S ribosomal RNA
Rfam family: Bacterial small subunit ribosomal RNA
Source: RNAcentral